UGAGCGCAUGUGCCCUCCGGGUUUCGAGGGGGGCAGACGAGGGAGAGGUUCAUCGAGACGUCAGCGGAUGCCUCUCGGCGUGCUGCAGCCGUAAACGGAUUACAAACCCCGGCGGCAACGGCGGGAACAAAAUU
This 134-nucleotide non-coding RNA is filed under the name uncultured Acidaminococcus sp. RNAcentral's name for it is "glmS glucosamine-6-phosphate activated ribozyme". It matches the Rfam family "glmS glucosamine-6-phosphate activated ribozyme aptamer", at positions 12 to 151 of the family's 167-position model. Rfam says of the family: This entry contains a glucosamine-6-phosphate activated ribozyme that is found in the mRNA for GlmS. GlmS is an enzyme that uses fructose-6-phosphate and glutamine to generate glucosamine-6-phosphate. The ribozyme catalyses self cleavage of the glmS mRNA that is thought to regulate GlmS activity. Lineage: Bacteria; Bacillati; Bacillota; Negativicutes; Acidaminococcales; Acidaminococcaceae. The record is from RNAcentral.